CUUCUUUACUAUACCUAUGCCUUUUACCCUUCAUUACUUUACAUUUCUGUAAUGUGUACUGUUGCUCAAAUUAACUUUGUCUAAAUGGAGUUGCCGUAUAUCGCUGUGCAAGAUGGCGGCGGGCACGCGCACGCGCAAAAGACCAUACUCCAAAAUCAGGCAAGUCCUGCAAAUCGGGCAGUGACAAAGUCCACUAUCCAGCAGCAAGAGCGGAAGUACCUGAAGUAGUGGUCGAAGUAGUACCUGAAAAACUUUACGUACCUUCGACAUGGACGAGCUAACAAGUCCUGUACGGAAACAACACCAGUUUGAUGUUGGCAAACUUCAGAGAUAUUUGUCUAAUAAGAUCAACGUCAAUGCCCUCACCGUCAGACAGUACAGCUUCGGUCAAUCAAACCCAACAUUUCUGCUGCAGACGCCGUCAAAAAGUUACGUUCUUAGGAAAAAGCCUCCGGGCGAGCUGCUGCCAGGAGCUCAUAAGGUGGACCGUGAGUACCACGUGCAGAAGGCACUGUUUGCCGCAGGCUUCCCUGUUCCUCAGCCUUUACUACACUGCACCGAUGUGGAUGUUGUUGGAACAGAGUUCUACCUGAUGGAACAUGUGAAGGGUCGUAUAUUCAGGGAUCUUCGUCUCCCAGGACUGAGUCCAGCAGAGAGAACUGCUCUGUAUGUGGCUGCAGUGGAGCUUUUAGCAAAGCUGCACUCACUGCACCUGACGUCACUGGACCUUGACAGAUAUGGACGAGGAUCAGGCUACUGUAAACGACAGGUGUCCACCUGGACCAGACAGUACACUGCUGCAGCCCAUAGGGACAUUCCAGCCAUGAACGAACUCUCUGAUUGGCUGCUGAGGAAUUUACCAGCCGACGACGAUGAGGUCACACUCGUCCACGGCGAUUUCCGCCUGGAUAACUUGAUAUUCCAUCCAACCGAGGCUCGGGUGAUGGCACUGCUGGACUGGGAGCUGUCCACCACUGGGCAGCCGCUGGCAGACUUGGCCUACUUCCUGAUGCCACACUACUGGCCCAGAGACCUCCAGGUUGUCAGUACACUGGGCAGCUUGAAGGGAAUAGAAGGAAUUCCCAGUGUGGAGGAUCUGGUCUCCAUCUACAGGCAGUGUCGGGGAAUCACAUCUUCUUUCCCUCAGCUGAAUUUCUACCUGGCCCUGUCUGUCUUUAAGAUGGCAGGUAUCGCUCAGGGAAUCUAUGCACGCCACCUACUGGGUAAUGCCAGUGCGCCCAACGCAGAGCAGUUUGGCCAGUGUGUGGAGCCCUUGGCUACGGUUGCCCUGCAGCUUGGAGAGGGCUCCUUCACUGAUCCAGGAGAAGAUGGACUCUUUCUGCACACGGCCAAAGGUCGGGCGGUUCUCCAGCAGGUCAAGGACUUCAUGAGGAAACAUGUGCUUCCUGCUCAGAAGGAGGUUGAACAGUACUACACCCAACAUGCUCAGUCUCCACAGAGGUGGCACACACCCCGGGUCAUGGAGGACCUGAAGCUGAGAGCCAGAGAAGCCGGACUGUGGAACCUGUUCCUGCCUGCGGCCAGCGGCCUCUCUCAGCUGGACUACGCCUACAUUGCGGAGGAGACCGGACGAUGCCUGUUUGCUCCAGACGUCUUCAACUGCCAGGCUCCUGACACAGGAAACAUGGAGGUGCUGCACAUGUUUGGUACGGAGGAGCAGAAGAGGAGGUGGCUGGAUCCUCUUCUCCGGGGGGAGAUCUGCUCCUGUUUCUGCAUGACAGAACCUGAUGUGGCCUCCAGCGAUGCCACCAACAUGGAGUGCACUCUUCACAGAGAUGGAGGUGAUUACAUCAUCAACGGCAAGAAAUGGUGGAGCAGCGGUGCUGGGAAAGCUAAUUGCAAAGUCGCCAUUGUGAUGUGCAGGAGCAGCUCCAAGGAGUCCAGCAGCAGACACGGCCAACACACUAUGGUCCUGGUUCCCAUGGAAACGGCAGGUGUAAAACUGGUCCGACCGCUCACUGUGUUUGGACAGGAUGAUGCCAUCCACGGUGGUCACUUUGAAGUGCACUUUGAAAAUGUCAGAGUUCCUGCAGCCAACAUCAUUCUGGGAGAAGGCCGAGGGUUUGAGAUCGCUCAGGGUCGUCUGGGACCAGGCCGUCUGCACCACUGCAUGAGGGCCGUUGGUUUGGCAGAGUUUGCUCUGGAGCUGCUCUGCCAGCGAGCCGCCAACAGGCAGACAUUUGGGAAGAAACUGUAUCAACAUGAGGUAGUUGCCCAUUGGAUAGCCGAGUGCCGUCUGAUGAUUGACCAGACCCGUCUGCUGACGCUCCAGGCGGCUCACGCACUCGAUACGGGAGGUGUCAGAGCCGCACGAAAACAGAUCGCGAUGAUCAAAGUGGCCGCGGCCAGAAUGGCCUGUCAGGUGGUGGACUGUGCCGUGCAGGUCUACGGAGCAGCGGGACUGUCUGCAGACUUCCCUCUAGCACAGAUGUACGCCUACGCCCGGACACUACGCCUUGCUGACGGACCAGACGAGGUUCACCUCUCCUCCGUGGCUCAUUUAGAGCUCAGAGACCAGCUGUCCAAACUGUGAUGUCAUGACCACGACUGAGGGUGGAGCCGCACGUCACCUGAUGAAGACUCUGCUUACCAUUUGGUUUUGGACGAAAGUGCAUCUCCGGCCAAGCUGGACCACUUGUGACCUGGCCGGUACAUCAUCGGACCAUCUCCGGACUAGCCAGUCCCGCAUUUUAGAAAGACUUCUAAAAACGUCUAAAAAGGUGGCUGUCGAAGUCCACUAAUAGUGAGUGAUCACCGGACUCGAGCAUCUGAGCGGCGAUGGCCCGUGUUUCCUCCCACUGUCUCAGCAUGAUUCUGCAGAAGACAAAGACAUCGGAACAGAGGGAUCUACAUUUGGAAUCACUAGAGAAGAAAGAACAAGAACAUCAACCAACACCAGGAAUAUUGGACUGGGAAUUGGUGAGAAAAGAUCAAUAACUGAUCUUUUACUGAAGAGAUUGAUGCGGGAUCAGGAGAGGACAGAUCAGGAUAUGGAGAUUUUCUUACAGCCUAAGUGUCGUUGCUAUUUUUUUUUUUUUUACUUCUUAUAAAUUUGUACAUUUCUUCAUCUUCAUUGUUUAUGAUUUACAACUUUUGGAAAACAUUUGUAACAUUAACUUUAAAACCUUCUUGUCAUCUUGGUUUAUGUAUUUAAAAUAACAUGAUUAGUCCUUUAAACACAGAUCGUUUAUAUGUUUGGCCAAAUCAAGACAUGGUUUACAGUAAACUGUAUUUCUAAUGUUGAGACAUUUAAUAAAAUAAAAAAUAAGACAAUG
RNA transcript from Cynoglossus semilaevis (tongue sole), 3296 nucleotides. It is a transcript of the gene named acyl-CoA dehydrogenase family, member 11, with no coding region annotated. The record is from RefSeq and is a predicted model, not a curated record. Lineage: Eukaryota; Metazoa; Chordata; Actinopteri; Pleuronectiformes; Cynoglossidae. The transcript has 23 exons.